RNAcentral lists this ribosomal RNA (836 nucleotides) under uncultured bacterium. RNAcentral's name for it is "bacterial SSU rRNA". It matches the Rfam family "Bacterial small subunit ribosomal RNA", at positions 8 to 811 of the family's 1533-position model. The record is from RNAcentral.
AGAGUUUGAUCCUGGCUCAGGAUGAACGCUGGCGGCGUGCCUAAUACAUGCAAGUCGAACGAAACUUCUUUAUCACCGAGUGCUUGCGCUCACCGAUAAAGAGUUGAGUGGCGAACGGGUGAGUAACACGUGGGCAACCUGCCCAAAAGAGGGGGAUAACACUUGGAAACAGGUGCUAAUACCGCAUAACCAUACAUGCCCCCUGGGAACUAUGUAAAAAGCGGCUGUGCUGCCGCAUGUGGACGGGCCCGAGGCGCAUGAUCUAGGUGGAGGGGCAAAGGCUUGCCACGACAAUGAUGCGGACCCAAACUGAGAAGUGGAUCGGCCACAUUGAGACUGAGACCCGGCCCAAACUCCAACCGGAGGCAGCGGAAAGGAAUCUUCGACAAAGGGCGAGAGCCUGAUGGACCAACGCCGCGUGGAUGAAGAACGUCUUCGGAUCGUAAAACCCUGUUGUUAGAGAAGAAAGUGUGUGUGAGUAGCUGUUCAAGUUUUGACGGUAUCUGACCAGAAAGCCCCGGCUAACUACGUGCCAGCAGCCGCGGUAAUACGUAGGUGGCAAGCGUUAUCCGGAUUUAUUGGGUGUAAAGGGAGCGCAGGCGGUGUUUUAAGUCUGAUGUGAAAGCCUUGGGCCCAACCGCAGUAGUGCUUUGGAAACUGGGAGACUUGAGUGCAGAAGAGGUGAGUGGAAUUCCUUGUGUAGCGGUGAAAUGCGUAGAUAUAUGGAGGAACACCAGUGGCGAAAGCGGCUUUCUGGUCUGUAACUGACGUUGAGGUUCGAAAGCGUGGGUAGCAAACAGGAUUAGAUACCCUGGUAGUCCACGCCGUAAACGAUG